RNAcentral lists this long non-coding RNA (2482 nucleotides) under Nicotiana benthamiana. RNAcentral describes it as "long non-coding RNA (NBEN_LNC016376)". The record is from RNAcentral. Lineage: Eukaryota; Viridiplantae; Streptophyta; Magnoliopsida; Solanales; Solanaceae.
UGAUUUUGAGUAGUUUCUCUUUAAAUUUAUUUUUUUAAUUAAUUGUGAUAAUUAUAUUUUAGGUUUAAUUAGUGUUUUUUUUGGUUAAUUCGGUUCUAGAAAUGAAAGCAAAGAAUUGAUAAAAAUUAGAAAAAAGAAUUGAAAAAGAAAAGAAAACAAGAGAAGAGAUUCAGUUGGUCCCAAACCAGUUUAUUUACCCGUAGCACAAUUCAUUCCCUCCCCUUUCUAGACCCGUUAAACCAUGGCCCAAACCCGCCCGGACGUGGUCUUUCUCCUCUCACUAAAUCAAAUGACCUCGUUUGGGGUCCUGUUUCUGUGAGUCAUCCGAUCCAUGGAAAUCAACAUAUGGGAUCUAGGGGUAGGGACAGUGUAUGACUGUCUGAACUCCACUACCCCCACCCGCCAUAUCGUUUCCCUCACUUCCCCUCUCUCUGAGACGCUCUCCGAAACCCUAGCCCACCGCGCCCUUUUCCUACCGCUUUAGGGUGGCGGUGCCGGUCCCAAUCCCCACCAAAAUCACAAAUAUUGACCACCAUGACCCCUUCUUCCCUAGUCCAUAAUCAAUUACCCUUGAAUUUUAAUGGAACUCCUUGAAUCUUGAAUCACAACUUGAACCCCAAAAUUCCAGUCUUCCCAAUUGAAGUUUUCGGUGUAGUUUUAGGUUCAUUCUGAGGGUAUUUUUGUUUUCAUUUGGAAAUGAAUGCUUAAUCUUAUAUUGAGCUAAGAUUUGAGAGUUUGAAGAUUCCUCACUAUAUUCUGUCCGAUGCUUUUCUUUAGGUAUGUUUCUUUGUAUUUUGUUUUUUAGUUUCUUUUCUCUCCCACCGUUAUUUCUACUAUUUUCCACUUUCAGUCCAUUCUGUCGAAAUCAUCUCUCAUGUUUCUUCACCGUUCAGUGUGUGAAUUGAUUAUUUUUUUCCCCUUUUAUUUUAUUUGGAUUCGUCGUUUAAGUUUUGUUCAAUUUGCGCUAUAUUGUGAUCAUUAGGUCCAAAGGUUUCAAGGCCCACUGGACCCUUUGCCCGUCUAGUUGAUUGCCCAUAUAAAAGUUUGAAUUGGAUUUUCGGGGCCAAAGGGAGGGGGAAUUAGCCUAUGUUUCAAAGGAAUUCACUAGGUCGGCUUGAACCAUGUAGUUUUUUGAAGGUAAUUUUCAAAGUCUUAGAGGGUAAUUGGGGAAUUUGGUAUGGAGAAUCUUGUUAUAACUGAUUAGGAAGCUUCAUAGAAGCUGACUUUGGGAUUGUUUUGAAACUCUGAAAAACUAAACAGGGAUAUCUAGGAAAAAAUAAAAAUAUGGAAAGAGCUAAAAUGAAAAUGUGAUUUCUCUAUUGUUUCCCUAUUGCCUUGCCUAUAAAGGCAUCUCAUUCUUGCCUUUCAAUGAAGGGGGCAGAGAAAAAAAUUUGGAAAAUACCAACGGUUGGACUUUUACUAUUUUAUUAGUUUCUUCAUUGGUAUUUUAUUUCUUUUCAACUUGUGAAAUCAUUUUAAACCAUCUGAAUUGGAAAUGGAUUGAGCUUCGUGUCAACAGCUUGGUUCAAAGUUUUGCUAGGCUGUUGGUUGGUCAAAAUCUAUUAUUUGGAGUUGCUAUACAUCAUUUCUAGAUUUGAAAUUAUUUUAUAUGGUUGUUUUUUCUGUUGAUUCCUGUUGUUUAUUUGCUGAUUGCUCACCCAUCUUUUCUUUCAAAAUUUCCAUGUACCUUCUUAGCUUAUAAUUGAUGAAUGAUUGUUGAACAUGUAAUAUGACUAAAGUUCUAUUAAAUGAAGAUUGCAUUCGAAGCUGAUUUCUCUUUGUUUUUUACUGUUUCCAUAUUCAGUAAUUAGAAUUUGAACUAUAGAUGUUAAUUAGGUUCUCUUUUUUCUUGAAUUGUGUGUGUGAGAGUGACCUGUUGUAGUAUUUUGUAUUUGUAUAAACUAUGGACUGGGAUUGAUAUGUUAAGUGGCUGAAACUGUUUUAUUUUUUGAUUCCAUGAUCAUGAGUUUAGAAGCAUGUGAAUGUAGAUCAUAAAUCUAUUAGAUUUGAUUUUAUUGAUGUCCCAGUAAUCAUGCUAAGAAUUUCCUCUAUAUAGCUUGAAACUUUAUUUAUGUCCUUUACUUGUGAAUACUCUGAGAUUUUAUUUUCUUUCAAAAUAGUUGAGUUUCAAAUGGAAGUUUGGUAUGGUUUUGGUUUUUGAAAUCUCCCAUAAGUUCGCUUGAAUCACAUAAUUUUGUUCAAGUGUGUUAUGUCACACCUCCUUUUGGCCACAAUCGAAAUAUGAUUCAAUUAUUUAAUAGGAUUUUAGAAUCACCACUUGGGAGAUUUAUGGUGUCCCAAGUCACAGUUUUGAAUCACGAAUCAAGGAAAGAAUGACUAUGUUUAACAGUCCGUGAACCAGAAAUUCAAGUAUGGAAUUCUGUUAACUGGGAGAAGGUGUUAGACACUCACGAGUUCCGUGGUUCUAGCACGGUCGCUCAAAUAUUAUAUUUGGCUCAAAUUAUCAGAUUUUUACAAUUAU